Long non-coding RNA from Bubalus bubalis (water buffalo), 649 nucleotides. RefSeq lists it as uncharacterized. The record is from RefSeq and is a predicted model, not a curated record. Lineage: Eukaryota; Metazoa; Chordata; Mammalia; Artiodactyla; Bovidae. The transcript is spliced from 2 exons.
AUCAGAUCCGGAGGGUGGGGACUCCUGCUGCAGGGAGACAGUCUGUAUAUGGCAGGAACUUGGACUUCUGAGUACAACUGGGUGACCUUCGGUUUCAUCUCACGAAGUCGUGUAGCCACUCCUGUAAUGUGAGAACAGCAAUAGUGCAGAGCUGCUGCCCGCGUUGGGAGAUUUCAAUGUGACAGCUAACAUGGAGAACUGGGCUCAGCCCAGCGUAAGCACCCUUGGAAGGAGCAUGGUUGCUCGCUCUUCCAACUGACCUUCCUGAACCUCUGGUGGGGCCUUCGUUACACCCCUGGAUCCUGCUUCAAGCCCUGUUGGCCCAACACCUACCUACAGGAGACACCCAUAAUCUAGGGAAGUGGCUUUCGACAUCUAUACCCUUGCCAGGGCAUCAUGCUUGGGAGAAUGUACUCCUCCAAUCCCCCAUCCUGGGCUUCACUGAAGGGAAGUUAGCAGAUGCUGCUUAAGGAGCAGAGGCUUGAAGUGUGUGAACCUGUCUCCUGAUCGAGCUUCUGCCAUUGCAGGAGGAAGAAAAUGCCCCAGGCUGCCGCUGACCUUCCAGGCUGAGCUCAGAAUGAAACACGUGGGUGGGGCUGCACUAGCAACCACCAACUCAUGAGCAAUAAAUGGUUAUUGUUGUAUGCCA